RNAcentral lists this ribosomal RNA (253 nucleotides) under uncultured bacterium. Its description in RNAcentral is "partial 16S ribosomal RNA". It matches the Rfam family "Bacterial small subunit ribosomal RNA", at positions 524 to 776 of the family's 1533-position model. The record is from RNAcentral.
UACGGGGGGGGUAAGCGUUGUUCGGAAUUACUGGGCGUAAAGGGCUCGUAGGCGGCCAACUAAGUCAGACGUGAAAUCCCUCAGCUUAACUGGGGAACUGCGUCUGAUACUGGAUGGCUUGGAUUCGGGAGAGGAAUGCGGAAUUCCAGGUGUAGCGGUGAAAUGCGUAGAUAUCUGGAGGAACACCGGUGGCGAAGGCGGCAUUCUGGACCGACAUUGACGCUGAGGCGCGAAAGCUAGGGGAGCAAACGGG